Molecule: ribosomal RNA, 492 nt
Filed under: uncultured bacterium
Lineage: Bacteria
Description: partial 16S ribosomal RNA
Rfam family: Bacterial small subunit ribosomal RNA
Source: RNAcentral
AGUGAACGCUGGCGGUAGGCCUAACACAUGCAAGUCGAACGGCAGCACGGUAAGAGCUUGCUCUUACGGGUGGCGAGUGGCGGACGGGUGAGGAAUACAUCGGAAUCUACUUUUUCGUGGGGGAUAACGUAGGGAAACUUACGCUAAUACCGCAUACGACCUACGGGUGAAAGCAGGGGAUCUUCGGACCUUGCGCGAUUGAAUGAGCCGAUGUCGGAUUAGCUAGUUGGCGGGGUAAAGGCCCACCAAGGCGACGAUCCGUAGCUGGUCUGAGAGGAUGAUCAGCCACACUGGAACUGAGACACGGUCCAGACUCCUACGGGAGGCAGCAGUGGGGAAUAUUGGACAAUGGGCGCAAGCCUGAUCCAGCCAUACCGCGUGGGUGAAGAAGGCCUUCGGGUUGUAAAGCCCUUUUGUUGGGAAAGAAAAGCAGCAGGUUAAUACCCCGCCGUUCUGACGGUACCCAAAGAAUAAGCACCGGCUAACUUCGUG